Molecule: small nuclear RNA, 107 nt
Organism: Sarcophilus harrisii (Tasmanian devil)
Lineage: Eukaryota; Metazoa; Chordata; Mammalia; Dasyuromorphia; Dasyuridae
Source: Ensembl
AUGCUCACUUCAGCAGCACAUGAACUAAAAUUAGAAUGAUAUAGAGAAGAUUAGCAUGGCCCGUGAGCAAGGAUGACAAGCAAAUUCAUAAAACACUCCAUUCGGAG